Molecule: ribosomal RNA, 459 nt
Filed under: Salmonella enterica
Lineage: Bacteria; Pseudomonadati; Pseudomonadota; Gammaproteobacteria; Enterobacterales; Enterobacteriaceae
Description: bacterial SSU rRNA
Rfam family: Bacterial small subunit ribosomal RNA
Source: RNAcentral
AAAUUGAAGAGUUUGAUCAUGGCUCAGAUUGAACGCUGGCGGCAGGCCUAACACAUGCAAGUCGAACGGUAACAGGAAGCAGCUUGCUGCUUUGCUGACGAGUGGCGGACGGGUGAGUAAUGUCUGGGAAACUGCCUGAUGGAGGGGGAUAACUACUGGAAACGGUGGCUAAUACCGCAUAACGUCGCAAGACCAAAGAGGGGGACCUUCGGGCCUCUUGCCAUCAGAUGUGCCCAGAUGGGAUUAGCUUGUUGGUGAGGUAACGGCUCACCAAGGCGACGAUCCCUAGCUGGUCUGAGAGGAUGACCAGCCACACUGGAACUGAGACACGGUCCAGACUCCUACGGGAGGCAGCAGUGGGGAAUAUUGCACAAUGGGCGCAGGCCUGAUGCAGCCAUGCCGCGUGUAUGAAGAAGGCCUUCGGGUUGUAAAGUACUUUCAGCGGGGAGGAAGGUGUUG